RNAcentral lists this transfer RNA (75 nucleotides) under Candidatus Peregrinibacteria bacterium CG_4_10_14_0_2_um_filter_38_24. Its description in RNAcentral is "tRNA-Thr". It matches the Rfam family "tRNA". From Rfam's summary of the family: Transfer RNA (tRNA) molecules are approximately 80 nucleotides in length. Their secondary structure includes four short double-helical elements and three loops (D, anti-codon, and T loops). The record is from RNAcentral. Lineage: Bacteria; Candidatus Peregrinibacteriota.
GCUGUGGUAGCUCAGUGGUAGAGCACCACCUUGGUAAGGUGGGGGUCGCAGGUUCAACUCCUGUUCACAGCUCCA